RNAcentral lists this ribosomal RNA (948 nucleotides) under uncultured bacterium. RNAcentral describes it as "bacterial SSU rRNA". It matches the Rfam family "Bacterial small subunit ribosomal RNA", at positions 43 to 985 of the family's 1533-position model. The record is from RNAcentral.
GAGGCUUACCAUGCAGUCGACGGCAGCACAGGGUAGCUUGCUAUCCGGGUGGCGAGUGGCGGACGGGUGAGUAACGCGUAGGAAUCUACCUUUUCGUGGGGGAUAACCCGGGGAAACUCGGGCUAAUACCGCAUACGCCCUACGGGGGAAAGCGGGGGACCUUCGGGCCUCGCGCGGAACGAUGAGCCUGCGUCCUAUCAGGUAGUUGGUGAGGUAAUGGCUCACCAAGCCGACGACGGGUAGCUGGUCUGAGAGGACGACCAGCCACACUGGGACCGAGACACGGCCCAGACUCCUACGGGAGGCAGCAGUGGGGAAUAUUGGACAAUGGGGGAAACCCUGAUCCAGCAAUACCGCGUGUGUGAAGAAGGCCUUCGGGUUGUAAAGCACUUUUAGCAGGAAAGAAAGACUAUGCGCUAAUACCGCACGGUUUUGAUGUUACUUGCAGAAAAAGCACCGGCUAACUCCGUGCCAGCAGCCGCGGUAAUACAGAGGGUGCAAGCGUUAAUCGGAAUUACUGGGCGUAAAGCGCGCGUAGGCGGCUUGUUAAGUCGGAUGUGAAAUCCCAGGGCUUAACCUUGGAACUGCAUUUGUGACUGCAUAGCUAGAGUACGGUAGAGGGGGAUGGAAUUCCGCGUGUAGCAGUGAAAUGCGUAGAUAUGCGGAGGAACACCGAUGGCGAAGGCAAUCCCCUGGGCCUGUACUGACGCUCAUGUACGAAAGCGUGGGGAGCAAACAGGAUUAGAUACCCUGGUAGUCCACGCCGUAAACGAUGUCGACUAGCCGUUGGGAAACUUGAUUUCCCAGUGGCGCAGCUAACGCGAUAAGUCGACCGCCUGGGGAGUACGGCCGCAAGGUUAAAACUCAAAUGAAUUGACGGGGACCCGCACAAGCGGUGGAGUAUGUGGUUUAUUCGACGCAACGCGAAGAACCUUACCUGCUCUUGAC